AGCAGCCGCGGUAAUUCCAGCUCCAAUAGCGUAUAUUAAAGUUGUUGCAGUUAAAAAGCUCGUAGUUGAAUUUCGGGAUCAAGGAAUCGGUCAUGCCUUGGUAUGUACUGGUUUUAUUGGUUCUCACCUUCUAAAGAACCAUAAUGUCAUUCAUUUGAUGUUAUGGGGAAUUAGGACUGUUACCUUGAAAAAAUUAGAGUGUUUAAAGCAGGCUCACGCUUGAAUACAUUAGCAUGGAAUAAUGAAAUAGGACAUCAGAUUCUAUUUUGUUGGUUUCUAGGAUCGAUGUAAUGAUUAAUAGGGAUAGUUGGGGGCAUUAGUAUUCAAUUGUCAGAGGUGAAAUUCUUGGAUUUAUUGAAGACUAACUACUGCGAAAGCAUUUGCCAAGGAUGUUUUCAUUAAUCAAGAACGAAAGUUAGGGGAUCGAAGACGAUCAGAUACCGUCGUAGUCUUAACCAUAAACUAUGCCGACUAGGGAUCGGAUGAUGUUUAUUUUUAGUGA
RNAcentral lists this ribosomal RNA (502 nucleotides) under uncultured Glomus. RNAcentral's name for it is "SSU rRNA". It matches the Rfam family "Eukaryotic small subunit ribosomal RNA", at positions 569 to 1074 of the family's 1831-position model. Lineage: Eukaryota; Fungi; Glomeromycota; Glomeromycetes; Glomerales; Glomeraceae. The record is from RNAcentral.